RNAcentral lists this long non-coding RNA (514 nucleotides) under Cottoperca gobio. RNAcentral's name for it is "lncRNA (ENSCGOG00000014992.1)". The record is from RNAcentral. Lineage: Eukaryota; Metazoa; Chordata; Actinopteri; Perciformes; Bovichtidae.
UAUAAUAUAUAUAUAUAUAUAAUAUAAUAUAAUUCAAUUCUGAAAUGCUUUCUUUUUAAGUUUUUAACAAAAUGAUUCUUUCUUUGCCUUCCGAAGGAGGCGUGUCCUCUUUCAGCCACCCCCCCACCACAGCCCCGUUCACCGUCUUCCAGGACGACACGGACAAAGAAAACGGCCGAGCUGCUGCUCCCGCUGCGGUGGAGAAAUCUAAACCAAUCAGAGCUCUGGCUGAACUCCCUGUGCCCAACAAACCCAACGACACUCCCGUGGACCUGAUGCCCGACGAGAGCACCAUGUGGGGCGCUCGCUACAACUCCCUCAACUCCCUCAACUCGCUGGAUGCGUGUCCCAACAGCACCACAGACUUCGCCAUGCUGGCUCAGUUUGUCUCCACGCCGUUCACUCACAAGUCGGCGUUCAACUUCUACGAGGACGAUGAGAACGACUGUGACGCUUGCAGAUGUUGAGGACGAUGCUUUCAUCAGACGGCAGCCGAAGAAGCUCAGGUAACGAU